UGGUGGAGUGAUUUGUCUGGUUAAUUCCGAUAACGAACGAGACUCUAUCUUACUAACUAGUCGCAGCUUUAUUCUGACUGCUGAGCUUCUUAGAAGGACAGGGGGAUUAUAAUCCCACGAGAUUGAGCAAUAACA
This 135-nucleotide ribosomal RNA is filed under the name uncultured eukaryote. RNAcentral describes it as "partial 18S ribosomal RNA". It matches the Rfam family "Eukaryotic small subunit ribosomal RNA", at positions 1299 to 1458 of the family's 1831-position model. The record is from RNAcentral.